Molecule: ribosomal RNA, 235 nt
Filed under: uncultured bacterium
Lineage: Bacteria
Description: partial 16S ribosomal RNA
Rfam family: Bacterial small subunit ribosomal RNA
Source: RNAcentral
CAAACGGGUGCGGAACACGUACGCAACCUUCCUUUAAGCGGGGAAUAGCCCAGGGAAACUUGGAUUAAUACCCCAUAAGAUUAUGGUGUGGCAUCACACAGUAAUUAAAGCUCCGGCACUUAAAGAUGGGCGUGCGGCUGAUUAGGUAGUUGGCGGAGUAAUAGCCCACCAAGCCAACGAUCAGUAACUGGUGUGAGAGCACGACCAGUCACACGGGCACUGAGACACGGGCCCG